RNAcentral lists this ribosomal RNA (620 nucleotides) under uncultured bacterium. RNAcentral describes it as "bacterial SSU rRNA". It matches the Rfam family "Bacterial small subunit ribosomal RNA", at positions 338 to 954 of the family's 1533-position model. The record is from RNAcentral.
CCUACGGGAGGCAGCAGUGGGGAAUUUUGGACAAUGGGCGCAAGCCUGAUCCAGCAAUGCCGCGUGAGUGAAGAAGGCCUUCGGGUUGUAAAGCUCUUUUGUCAGGGAAGAAAAGGGUCUGGCUAAUAUCUAGGCCUCAUGACGGUACCUGAAGAAUAAGCACCGGCUAACUACGUGCCAGCAGCCGCGGUAAUACGUAGGGUGCAAGCGUUAAUCGGAAUUACUGGGCGUAAAGCGUGCGCAGGCGGUUUUGUAAGACUGUCGUGAAAUCCCCGGGCUCAACCUGGGAAUGGCGAUGGUGACUGCAAGGCUAGAGUUUGGCAGAGGGGGGUAGAAUUCCACGUGUAGCAGUGAAAUGCGUAGAUAUGUGGAGGAACACCGAUGGCGAAGGCAGCCCCCUGGGUCAAAACUGACGCUCAUGCACGAAAGCGUGGGGAGCAAACAGGAUUAGAUACCCUGGUAGUCCACGCCCUAAACGAUGUCUACUAGUUGUCGGGUUUUAAUUAACUUGGUAACGCAGCUAACGCGUGAAGUAGACCGCCUGGGGAGGUACGGUCGCAGAGUAAACUACGAAGAAGUAGACGCGNGAGACGNGCGACGGACGACGACGAGGGAGGAGG